ACGGGGUGCAGCAGGCGCGAAAACUUUACAAUGCCGGCAACGGCGAUAAGGGGACCUCGAGUGCCAGGUUACAAAUCUGGCUGUCGUAAUGCCUAAAAAGCAUUUCAUAGCAAGGGCCGGGCAAGACCGGUGCCAGCCGCCGCGGUAACACCGGCGGCUCGAGUGGUAACCGUUAUUAUUGGGUCUAAAGGGUCUGUAGCCGGCCGGAUAAGUCUCUUGAGAAAUCUGGCAGCUUAACUGUCAGGCUAUCAGGGGAUACUGUCUGGCUCGAGGCCGGGAGAGGUGAGAGGUACUUCAGGGGUAGGGGUGAAAUCUUGUAAUCCUUGAAGGACCACCAGUGGCGAAGGCGUCUCACCAGAACGGACCUGACGGCAAGGGACGAAAGCUAGGGGCACGAACCGGAUUAGAUACCCGGGUAGUCCUAGCCGUAAACGAUACUCGCUAGGUGUCGGCCACGGUGCGACCGUGGUCGGUGCCGUAGGGAAGCCGUAAAGCGAGCCACCUGGGAAGUACGGCCGCAAGACUGAAACUUAAAGGAAUUGGCGGGGGAGCAC
This 554-nucleotide ribosomal RNA is filed under the name uncultured archaeon. RNAcentral describes it as "bacterial SSU rRNA". It matches the Rfam family "Archaeal small subunit ribosomal RNA", at positions 325 to 879 of the family's 1478-position model. The record is from RNAcentral.